UACGAGGGGGGCUAGCGUUGCUCGGAUUGACUGGGCGUAAAGGGUGCGUAGGCGGAUAGUACAGUCAGGCGUGAAAUUCCUGGGCUCAACCUGGGGGCUGCGUUUGAUACGUAUUGUCUGGAGUUCGGAAGAGGGUCGUGGAAUUCCCAGUGUAGAGGUGAAAUUCGUAGAUAUUGGGAAGAACACCGGUGGCGAAGGCGGCGACCUGGUCCGAUACUGACGCUGAGGCGCGAAAGCGUGGGGAGCAAACAGG
RNAcentral lists this ribosomal RNA (253 nucleotides) under uncultured bacterium. Its description in RNAcentral is "partial 16S ribosomal RNA". It matches the Rfam family "Bacterial small subunit ribosomal RNA", at positions 524 to 776 of the family's 1533-position model. The record is from RNAcentral.